This 520-nucleotide ribosomal RNA is filed under the name uncultured Acaulospora. RNAcentral's name for it is "SSU rRNA". It matches the Rfam family "Eukaryotic small subunit ribosomal RNA", at positions 569 to 1087 of the family's 1831-position model. Lineage: Eukaryota; Fungi; Glomeromycota; Glomeromycetes; Diversisporales; Acaulosporaceae. The record is from RNAcentral.
AGCAGCCGCGGUAAUUCCAGCUCCAAUAGCGUAUAUUAAAGUUGUUGCAGUUAAAAAGCUCGUAGUUGAAUUUCGGGAUUUGUCAGUUGGUCGGGCUUCACUGUCCGUAUUGACUUGAUGGAUUCUUACCUUCUGAAUAACCAGCAUGCUAUUAAGUUAGUGCGUUGGGGAAGCAGAUCUAUUACCUUGAAAAAAAUUAGAGUGCUUAAAGCGAGCUAGUGCUUGAAUAGAUUAGCAUGGAAUAAUAAAAUAGGACGGCAUGGUUCUAUUUUGUUGGUUUCUAGGAUCACCGUAAUGAUUAAUAGGGAUAGUUGGGGGCAUUAGUAUUCAAUUGUCAGAGGUGAAAUUCUUGGAUUUAUUGAAGACUAACUUCUGCGAAAGCAUUUGCCAAGGAUGUUUUCAUUAAUCAAGAACGAAAGUUAGGGGAUCGACGACGAUCAGAUACCGUCGUAGUCUUAACCAUAAACUAUGCCGACUAGGAAUCGGACGAUGUUAAUUUUAUAAUGACUCGUUCGGCACC